Molecule: ribosomal RNA, 525 nt
Filed under: Enterobacter sp. WB32
Lineage: Bacteria; Pseudomonadati; Pseudomonadota; Gammaproteobacteria; Enterobacterales; Enterobacteriaceae
Description: bacterial SSU rRNA
Rfam family: Bacterial small subunit ribosomal RNA
Source: RNAcentral
CACAGAGAGCUUGCUCUCGGGUGACGAGUGGCGGACGGGUGAGUAAUGUCUGGGAAACUGCCUGAUGGAGGGGGAUAACUACUGGAAACGGUAGCUAAUACCGCAUAACGUCGCAAGACCAAAGAGGGGGACCUUCGGGCCUCUUGCCAUCAGAUGUGCCCAGAUGGGAUUAGCUAGUAGGUGGGGUAACGGCUCACCUAGGCGACGAUCCCUAGCUGGUCUGAGAGGAUGACCAGCCACACUGGAACUGAGACACGGUCCAGACUCCUACGGGAGGCAGCAGUGGGGAAUAUUGCACAAUGGGCGCAAGCCUGAUGCAGCCAUGCCGCGUGUAUGAAGAAGGCCUUCGGGUUGUAAAGUACUUUCAGCGGGGAGGAAGGCGAUAAGGUUAAUAACCUUGUCGAUUGACGUUACCCGCARAAGAAGCACCGGCUAACUCCGUGCCAGCAGCCGCGGUAAUACGGAGGGUGCAAGCGUUAAUCGGAAUUACUGGGCGUAAAGCGCACGCAGGCGGUCUGUCAGUCG